CAAGCAAGUCAGAGGACAGAAGAGCUGAGCCACCGUGCGGGAGCGACUGGACCGAAGGUGAAAGACUGGGUGUGCUAGACAGCCGAGGGUCUCAGCAAUCUCCUCACACAGGUUCUUUCAUGGACCAUGUUCUGACAUCUUGUCCACUCAACCCGCCCAGGCAAAGUUUGUCAGAGAACCGCUGUGUAAAUAUCAAGAAGCUAUAAACAGCAUGGCCUCGGGGUGAAACCUGCCUGAGGGUUAGAGUCCAGCUGCUGCGCUCACCAAGUAAGUGACAGGGAGAAGUGAAUGGAGAAACUGCUGGAGGAAAGGGUUCUCUUGGAAAGAGAACACAAAAGCAUUUUUAGAAAAAAAAAAUCUACGUGGGGUGCUGGAAGUGCAUGAAUUAGGAAAUUCCGGGUGUUGUGUGCAGUGUGUCCCUUUAUACCACAAUUUCAUCGAAAUUUCAGCAGAAUCCAUACAGCACAAAUAGGCAUGGACUCAUAAAUAUAGAAUAAUUUCCAACUUUGUCUGUAUGCUGCAAUCACCUAAAGAGCUUCUAAUAAAUGGCCACUGCGCUGGCUUAGAUCCCAAA
This 574-nucleotide long non-coding RNA is filed under the name Mus musculus (house mouse). RNAcentral's name for it is "predicted gene, 47448". The record is from RNAcentral. Lineage: Eukaryota; Metazoa; Chordata; Mammalia; Rodentia; Muridae.